CCUGAUUAAUAUAGGAGGUCCAGCCUGCCCAGUGACUCUGUUUAACGGCCGCGGUAUUCUAACCGUGCGAAGGUAGCGUAAUCACUUGUUCUUUAAAUGAGGACUAGUAUGAAUGGCAUCACGAGGGUUAUACUGUCUCCUUUUCCAAAUCAGUGAAACUAAUCUCCCCGUGAAGAAGCGGAGAUAAAAAUAUAAGACGAGAAGACCCUAUGGAGCUUAAAACUUUCAACAAUUAUAUUUUAUUUAUAAACCUAAAGGUAACCAAACUAAUCCUUAUAAUAUGUUUGUUAGUUUUCGGUUGGGGUGACCGCGGAGUAAAACCUACCCUCCAUAUUGAAUUAAAUUAUUCUUAUUAGCAAAAAACUACAAUUUUAUGCAUCAAAAAAUUGACAUUAUUGACCCAAUAUUUUGAUCAACGAAC
RNAcentral lists this ribosomal RNA (421 nucleotides) under Callimedusa tomopterna group sp. ABGD cluster 29. RNAcentral's name for it is "partial large subunit ribosomal RNA". It matches the Rfam family "Bacterial large subunit ribosomal RNA", at positions 1835 to 2439 of the family's 2925-position model. Lineage: Eukaryota; Metazoa; Chordata; Amphibia; Anura; Hylidae. The record is from RNAcentral.